CACUCCUACGGGAGGCAGCAGUGGGGAAUUUUGGACAAUGGGCGAAAGCCUGAUCCAGCAAUGCCGCGUGUGUGAAGAAGGCCUUCGGGUUGUAAAGCACUUUUGUCCGGAAAGAAAUCCUUGGCUCUAAUACAGUCGGGGGAUGACGGUACCGGAAGAAUAAGCACCGGCUAACUACGUGCCAGCAGCCGCGGUAAUACGUAGGGUGCGAGCGUUAAUCGGAAUUACUGGGCGUAAAGCGUGCGCAGGCGGUUUGCUAAGACCGAUGUGAAAUCCCCGGGCUCAACCUGGGAACUGCAUUGGUGACUGGCAGGCUAGAGUAUGGCAGAGGGGGGUAGAAUUCCACGUGUAGCAGUGAAAUGCGUAGAGAUGUGGAGGAAUACCGAUGGCGAAGGCAGCCCCCUGGGCCAAUACUGACGCUCAUGCACGAAAGCGUGGGGAGCAAACAGGAUUAGAAACCCUUGUAGUCCCAUG
This 474-nucleotide ribosomal RNA is filed under the name uncultured organism. RNAcentral's name for it is "partial 16S ribosomal RNA". It matches the Rfam family "Bacterial small subunit ribosomal RNA", at positions 334 to 799 of the family's 1533-position model. The record is from RNAcentral.